Molecule: long non-coding RNA, 276 nt
Filed under: Elaeis guineensis (African oil palm)
Lineage: Eukaryota; Viridiplantae; Streptophyta; Magnoliopsida; Arecales; Arecaceae
Description: long non-coding RNA (EGUI_LNC001390)
Source: RNAcentral
GGGCUCCAUUUCUAGGCAACAAGUGGUAUCAGAGUCCGGUGCUCUAGUCCUUGCUUGAUUUAUCCAUCAAGAGCUAAAAAUCUAUGACAGCCCAAUUUGGCACAUCUCUAGCUGAGAGGCAAUUCAUAAACUGAUCUCUACUUUUUAAUAGAUCAAACUACACCUAUUGAAAAACUCAGAUGAAAUUUUUUAUACAAGCACAUGACUAUGACAUGUGGAGUGUCAUAAUAAAUGGACCACACACACUCAUUAAAUUAAUUGAUGGUGUAUCUCUCC